This 351-nucleotide long non-coding RNA is filed under the name Homo sapiens (human). RNAcentral's name for it is "HSALNT0009316". The record is from RNAcentral. Lineage: Eukaryota; Metazoa; Chordata; Mammalia; Primates; Hominidae.
AUUAUUGGAAAAAAAUUCUUAACCAGUAAAAGCAUGGCACUGUGGAUUAAGUACCAGGCUAACAUCAAGGAAAUCAGGUGAUGAUAGCCUACUGUAUGUCCCCAGGCAGGAGCCAACACAUUUGCUGGUACAGAUGAGCUGCGUUCCUCACGGAGCACGGGCACAUCAAUUCUGGAACAGUCAGCCCCAUCACCAUGCUGCUUUUCUAUUUGAACCUUUCAUGCCCUGCAAGACAAGAAUAGCUCUGGCUGCUGUGUCAUGAUUAUUCUAUAAGAGGCAAAGAUAGAGGCAAGAAAACAAGUGAAGAUUUUAUUACAGAAACCCAGAAAUCUGCUUCUUGUUCUGUCUACG